UAAAACUGGUGAACCACACAAAAUCUGUU
Molecule: small RNA, 29 nt
Filed under: Bombyx mori (domestic silkworm)
Lineage: Eukaryota; Metazoa; Arthropoda; Insecta; Lepidoptera; Bombycidae
Description: piRNA piR-bmo-1376053
Source: RNAcentral